RNAcentral lists this long non-coding RNA (585 nucleotides) under Mytilus galloprovincialis (Mediterranean mussel). Lineage: Eukaryota; Metazoa; Mollusca; Bivalvia; Mytilida; Mytilidae. The record is from RNAcentral.
GUGUCUUUUUGUUGAUGGGAUGUACAAGUACUCGGUCACGUCCACUCUCUGUUUUUGUUAGAUGUAUUUCUAUUUGUAUCCAUCUGAUGAGUUAAGCCUUUUUCAACUGAUUUGUAUAGUUCGUUCUUAUGUUGUACUGUUACACCACUGUCCCAGGUUAAGGGGAGGGUUGGGAUCCCGCUAACAUGUUUAACCUCGCCACAUUCUGUAUGUAUGUGCCUGUCCAAAGUCAGGAGUCUUUAAUUCAGUGGUUGUCGUUUGUUGCUGUGUUACAUAUUUGUUUUUGUUCAUUUUUUUAUACAUAAAUUAGGCCGUUAGUUUUCUCGUUUGAAUUGUUCUACAUUUGUCAUUUCAGGUCUUUUUAUAGCUAACUAUGAGGUAUGGGCUUUGCUCAUUGUUGAAGGUCGUACGGUGACCUAUAGUUGUUAAUUUCUGUGUCACGUGGUCUCUUGUGAAGAGUUGUCUCAUUGGCAAUCAUACCACAUCUUUUUUUAUAUUAUAUGCUCAUAUGCAUUGAUAAUUUUCUUGAAAUAAUCAUAGAUUUUUGUUAGAUGUAUCCAUCUGAUGAGUUAAGCCUUAUUGUUG